AGAGUUUGAUCAUGGCUCAGAUUGAACGCUGGCGGCAGGCCUAACACAUGCAAGUCGAACGGUAACAGGAAGCAGCUUGCUGCUUUGCUGACGAGUGGCGGACGGGUGAGUAAUGUCUGGGAAACUGCCUGAUGGAGGGGGAUAACUACUGGAAACGGUGGCUAAUACCGCAUAACGUCGCAAGACCAAAGAGGGGGACCUUCGGGCCUCUUGCCAUCAGAUGUGCCCAGAUGGGAUUAGCUGGUUGGUGAGGUAACGGCUCACCAAGGCGACGAUCCCUAGCUGGUCUGAGAGGAUGACCAGCCACACUGGAACUGAGACACGGUCCAGACUCCUACGGGAGGCAGCAGUGGGGAAUAUUGCACAAUGGGCGCAAGCCUGAUGCAGCCAUGCCGCGUGUAUGAAGAAGGCCUUCGGGUUGUAAAGUACUUUCAGCGGGGAGGAAGGUGUUGUGGUUAAUAACCGCAGCAAUUGACGUUACCCGCAGAAGAAGCACCGGCUAACUCCGUGCCAGCAGCCGCGGUAAUACGGAGGGUGCAAGCGUUAAUCGGAAUUACUGGGCGUAAAGCGCACGCAGGCGGUCUGUCAAGUCGGAUGUGAAAUCCCCGGGCUCAACCUGGGAACUGCAUUCGAAACUGGCAGGCUUGAGUCUUGUAGAGGGGGGUAGAAUUCCAGGUGUAGCGGUGAAAUGCGUAGAGAUCUGGAGGAAUACCGGUGGCGAAGGCGGCCCCCUGGACAAAGACUGACGCUCAGGUGCGAAAGCGUGGGGAGCAAACAGGAUUAGAUACCCUGGUAGUCCACGCCGUAAACGAUGUCUACUUGGAGGUUGUGCCCUUGAGGCGUGGCUUCCGGAGCUAACGCGUUAAGUAGACCGCCUGGGGAGUACGGCCGCAAGGUUAAAACUCAAAUGAAUUGACGGGGGCCCGCACAAGCGGUGGAGCAUGUGGUUUAAUUCGAUGCAACGCGAAGAACCUUACCUGGUCUUGACAUCCACGGAAGUUUUCAGAGAUGAGAAUGUGCCUUCGGGAACCGUGAGACAGGUGCUGCAUGGCUGUCGUCAGCUCGUGUUGUGAAAUGUUGGGUUAAGUCCCGCAACGAGCGCAACCCUUAUCCUUUGUUGCCAGCGGUCCGGCCGGGAACUCAAAGGAGACUGCCAGUGAUAAACUGGAGGAAGGUGGGGAUGACGUCAAGUCAUCAUGGCCCUUACGACCAGGGCUACACACGUGCUACAAUGGCGCAUACAAAGAGAAGCGACCUCGCGAGAGCAAGCGGACCUCAUAAAGUGCGUCGUAGUCCGGAUUGGAGUCUGCAACUCGACUCCAUGAAGUCGGAAUCGCUAGUAAUCGUGGAUCAGAAUGCCACGGUGAAUACGUUCCCGGGCCUUGUACACACCGCCCGUCACACCAUGGGAGUGGGUUGCAAAAGAAGUAGGUAGCUUAACCUUCGGGAGGGCGCUUACCACUUUGUGAUUCAUGACUGGGGUGAAGUCGUAACAAGGUAACCGUAGGGGAACCUGCGGUUG
Molecule: ribosomal RNA, 1522 nt
Filed under: Salmonella enterica subsp. enterica serovar 4,12:d:-
Lineage: Bacteria; Pseudomonadati; Pseudomonadota; Gammaproteobacteria; Enterobacterales; Enterobacteriaceae
Description: bacterial SSU rRNA
Rfam family: Bacterial small subunit ribosomal RNA
Source: RNAcentral